This 342-nucleotide ribosomal RNA is filed under the name Triticum aestivum (bread wheat). RNAcentral describes it as "partial small subunit ribosomal RNA". Lineage: Eukaryota; Viridiplantae; Streptophyta; Magnoliopsida; Poales; Poaceae. The record is from RNAcentral.
CCUCAUGUAGUUGAGCAGAUGGCUUUGUUAGAUAUAAAAAGUAUGCUUGAAUCGAUGGGGAAGGACAUAUCAUCAUUACCUCUUCCAGAAAUUGUUGAGUCAUAUGAUGGCUCAAAUAACGAGGCUAGGGAGAUCACAGAGGAGUCGACCAUAGGGGUGAACCCAGAACACCUUGGCUUUUCAUCUUUCCUAAACCCAGAAGAGAGAUAUGCAUAUGAUGAGAUACUUGCAACAAUCAAUAGUGGCCAAGGAGGUGUGUUCUUUGUUGAUGGACCAGGAGGCACUGGAAAGACUUAUCUAUACAAACACUACUUGCAAAAGUACGUGGUGAGGGUAAGAUAG